UACGAAGGGGGCUAGCGUUGUUCGGAAUCACUGGGCGUAAAGCGCACGUAGGCGGAUUGUUAAGUCGGGGGUGAAAUCCUGAGGCUCAACCUCAGAACUGCCUUCGAUACUGGCGAUCUUGAGUCCGGAAGAGGUUGGUGGAACAGCUAGUGUAGAGGUGAAAUUCGUAGAUAUUAGCUAGAACACCAGUGGCGAAGGCGGCCAACUGGUCCGGAACUGACGCUGAGGUGCGAAAGCGCGGGGAGCAAACAGG
This 253-nucleotide ribosomal RNA is filed under the name uncultured bacterium. Its description in RNAcentral is "partial 16S ribosomal RNA". It matches the Rfam family "Bacterial small subunit ribosomal RNA", at positions 524 to 776 of the family's 1533-position model. The record is from RNAcentral.